This 1393-nucleotide long non-coding RNA is filed under the name Oryctolagus cuniculus (rabbit). RNAcentral's name for it is "lncRNA (ENSOCUG00000030976.1)". The record is from RNAcentral. Lineage: Eukaryota; Metazoa; Chordata; Mammalia; Lagomorpha; Leporidae.
AUGUGCAGCUCCCGGCUGAGAAUGAGGCUGACCGGAGCCCUGGACUGCACGCUCCAUACCUCCCCUGCCCUGGGGAGAAGCAGGCCCAGAGCACCCCCACCCCCAACACACACACACACACACACACACACUCUCAACCUCGCACACCCCCAACCUCGCAGGCCCUCCGUUCUAGAGCUCAGGCCUGGGGCAGUGGCCAAGGCCAGUGUGGCCACUCUGGCCUGCGGAGGGAGGGCCAGGGGACACCGACCUGGGACCACUUGUAGAGAUGCUGCGGGGAAGAUGGCCUUGGGUAUGGGUGGGCUGGGAGACACAGCAGGCAACUCCUCAGCCCCCUGUCCGACCCUCAACCGGCAGUUUGUGCUGCCACCUGCCAGAACAGCCGGCUUAUAGCAAGAGGGGUCGAAGCCAGAUAAGCAGUAGGCGAGCAGGUUCAUCCUCUCUGAGGGGCUUGCGAGAGGACAGCAGCAGGAUGCUCACCCGGAGACUUCAGGGGCCCAUUCCUGGCCUGGAUGAAAUCCCAGGGAUUGGGGGGGGGGGCAGAUGGAGCGGGAGGAGGUGGGGGGCGGCCCUGCCUCCACAUUGCAAGCUGAAGUAGGGUAAGGAAUGCGCCCGCCCGGGUGCGGUGGGGCUGAGAUGCAGGUCCAGGGAGAAUGGAAUGAAAAGGCUGUUGAGUGGUGGGGCAAGUGUGUGCGGUAGGAGGGGAAGGCGGGGCGCCUCCCCCAGCCCUGCUCCUGCAGCACUAACUUGGGACCGGGACCCCCGGGGGCCUCUGCUGUGACGUCAGCUUGCGCGGGGGAGCCCAGGACCACUGUUUGAGAUGACCCCACACACACACACACACCCGGGCUGGGCAAAACGGGGGGACUGUGUCGGUUCCCAGGGGCUGCUGGAAUGUGAGCCCUGCGCUCCGCUCUCUCUGCCCCAGAUCCAAGGACCAGGGGCCCCUUGACGCCACUGAGGCUGAUGAGCCCCCUUUCCCCCUACCCACCUUCCUUCUGGCGACAAGGAAGACCAGGUCAGGAGCAGGAGGAAGCAGACGCUGGGCCACACCCCUGCCCCCUGCUCCUGCAGGUGAGCUCUCACCUUGACGGGCUGGGGGGGGGGGGGGGCAGAUGCGCCACUGUGCAAGUAAGCCUGUGCGUCUGCACCGUGAGGACGCUGCGUCCGCCCGGCCUACUCCCCUCGGAGGGCCAGGUUCCAGCACCCGACCUCCCAGCCCGGAAAGGUUUGCGAAGUGCUUCCGGAGCCUCUGCCCACUGCCUCCAUCCCCCCAGCUCUCUGCCCAACAGUUGGUCACCUCCAAGCAGGAGGUAAAGAUUCCGCCACCUGCUCCUAGCUUCCACCCACACCAACCCCAGGCCCAGCCACCUUGGGGCGCACUCCUGCCCUA